CUCCUUCUCUCUCGUAUUCUUCUUGAGCUUUCCAAAAGAAACAUAAGGGCUAAGGGCCAAAUUCUUGGGAUUUUGAGGAAAUUCUUUGUGAAUUGAAGUGUUUUGGAAGGGAUUGGGAGUUGUUGGUUUCUUCAUUAAUCAAGGAAUCUCGAAUUUCAUCUCAGGGAUAUUAACGUAAGCCUAGCACUGGGAGACGCACUUUACUAGUCAUCGACCGUACAUAUGGUGCUAGUGAUGCAAAUUAUGCGGUUAUUACCAUAAUCUUAGUGUCGAGAGAUGCACUCUACUAGGCAUCGACCGUACAUAUGGUAUUGGUGAUGGAAAUUUACUUGGUAAGGGCAAGGGAAAAGUCGACCAGCCAUGAGUUUGAGGGCUUUGGAGUGGCGCUUACAUGUUCGGCUUGCUUGGCCACCACGGUCAAGUUAUUUUGAGGGACUUAGAGUAUAAGUCUAGGUUUAUCACUUAGACUGACUAUAUUGUAAACUUUGUUUGUAAUUAAGUUUUAGUUAACUAUUUUCAAAUUCCCUUUGUGAUUAUUUAAGUUAUAAAUGAAAAUUUUAUAUCUUUGAUCAAAAAUUUUGAAUGCCCAAACCUUCAACUAGUUUUAUUACACUUUUGAGUCCAAAUGACUCAUUUAGCGAGUUAAGCACUACUUUAAACACACAGUGUAACUGUCUUGGAUUAGUAUGGUGUUGCAACUUUGUAUGAGAGGUGCCAAGGCUUUAUGGUUCCUAAAAAUUGGCCGAACAUGUACGCUCACUACUAAAGAAAAGCUCGACUCGCAGUUCGAUGGGUAUUGUGUGGAAUGUGUGCUUAACUGCUGAAUUGAAAUAUAUGCCUUAUCUGCAUGCUAGAAUAGGGAGCAUGAAAUAUACUGAUAAGGUUUGGCCCUUGAUUGUUAGGUGAAUAUGGAAGAAAUUCUUAUUAUCAUUGUUGUUAAAUGUGAGUGUGAUAGAAAUGCUUAUCAGUAUUGUUGCUGCAUGUGUAUGCUCUAUUUUGUUCAGUUUUGACCGUGGGACGGUUUCUGGAUAUGUUAUCAUUGCCUAAUAAGUCGAGUCAUUGAUUGCCGACAUACUUAGA
Long non-coding RNA from Humulus lupulus (European hop), 1080 nucleotides. RefSeq lists it as uncharacterized. The transcript is spliced from 3 exons. Lineage: Eukaryota; Viridiplantae; Streptophyta; Magnoliopsida; Rosales; Cannabaceae. The record is from RefSeq and is a predicted model, not a curated record.